GAUGAACGCUGGCGGCGUGCCUAAUACAUGCAAGUCGAGCGAACAGACGAGGAGCUUGCUCCUCUGACGUUAGCGGCGGACGGGUGAGUAACACGUGGAUAACCUACCUAUAAGACUGGGAUAACUUCGGGAAACCGGAGCUAAUACCGGAUAAUAUAUUGAACCGCAUGGUUCAAUAGUGAAAGACGGUUUUGCUGUCACUUAUAGAUGGAUCCGCGCCGCAUUAGCUAGUUGGUAAGGUAACGGCUUACCAAGGCAACGAUGCGUAGCCGACCUGAGAGGGUGUGCGGCCACCCUGGAACUGAGACACGGUCCAGACUCCUACGGUAGGCAGCAGUAGGGAAUCUGCUGCAAUGGGCGAAAGCCUGACGGAGCAGCGCCGCGUGAGUGAUGAAGGUCUUCGGAUCGGAAAACUCUGUUAUGAGGGAAGAACAAAUGUGUAAGUAACUAUGCACGUCUUGACGGUAACUAAUCAGACAGCCACGGCUAACUACGUG
RNAcentral lists this ribosomal RNA (497 nucleotides) under uncultured bacterium. RNAcentral describes it as "partial 16S ribosomal RNA". It matches the Rfam family "Bacterial small subunit ribosomal RNA", at positions 28 to 507 of the family's 1533-position model. The record is from RNAcentral.